UACGGGGGGUGCGAGCGUUGUCCGGAAUCACUGGGCGUAAAGGGCGCGUAGGCGGCCUUCUAAGUCGAACGUGAAAUCCCUGGGCUCAACCCAGGAACUGCGUCCGAUACUGGGAGGCUUGAAUCCGGGAGAGGGAUGCGGAAUUCCAGGUGUAGCGGUGAAAUGCGUAGAUAUCUGGAGGAACACCGGUGGCGAAGGCGGCAUCCUGGACCGGUAUUGACGCUGAGGCGCGAAAGCCAGGGGAGCGAACGGG
This 253-nucleotide ribosomal RNA is filed under the name uncultured bacterium. RNAcentral's name for it is "partial 16S ribosomal RNA". It matches the Rfam family "Bacterial small subunit ribosomal RNA", at positions 524 to 776 of the family's 1533-position model. The record is from RNAcentral.